GACGGAGGAUGCAAGUGUUAUCCGGAAUCACUGGGCGUAAAGCGUCUGUAGGUGGUUCGAAAAGUCCACUGUUAAAAAUUGAAGCUUAACUUCAAAGAUGCCGUGGAAACUUUCAAACUAGAGUGUGGAAGGGGUAGAGGGAAUUUCCAGUGGAGCGGUGAAAUGCGUAGAUAUCGGGAGGAACACCAGAGGCGAAGGCGGCCACCUGGACAGAGAUUGACGCUGAGACGCGAAAGCGUGGGGAGCAACCAGG
Molecule: ribosomal RNA, 253 nt
Filed under: uncultured bacterium
Lineage: Bacteria
Description: partial 16S ribosomal RNA
Rfam family: Bacterial small subunit ribosomal RNA
Source: RNAcentral